AUUGAACGCUGGCGGCAUGCUUUACACAUGCAAGUCGAACGGCAGCACGGGGCCAGCCCUGGUGGCGAGUGGCGAACGGGUGAGUAAUACAUCGGAACGUGCCCGGUCGUGGGGGAUAACGUAGCGAAAGGGACGCUAAUACCGCAUACGAUCUGAGGAUGAAAGCGGGGGACCUUCGGGCCUCGCGCGAUCGGAGCGGCCGAUGUCAGAUUAGGUAGUUGGUGGGUAAAGGCCUACCAAGCCGACGAUCUGUAGCUGGUCUGAGAGGACGACCAGCCACACUGGAACUGAGACACGGCCCAGACUCCUACGGGAGGCAGCAGUGGGGAAUUUUGGACAAUGGGCGCAAGCCUGAUCCAGCCAUGCCGCGUGCAGGACGAAGGCCUUCGGGUUGUAAACUGCUUUUGUUCGGAACGAAAAGGAUCUGGCUAAUACCUGGGGCUCAUGACGGUACCGUAAGAAUAAGCACCGGCUAACUACGUG
Molecule: ribosomal RNA, 483 nt
Filed under: uncultured bacterium
Lineage: Bacteria
Description: partial 16S ribosomal RNA
Rfam family: Bacterial small subunit ribosomal RNA
Source: RNAcentral